Molecule: long non-coding RNA, 889 nt
Filed under: Sorghum bicolor (sorghum)
Lineage: Eukaryota; Viridiplantae; Streptophyta; Magnoliopsida; Poales; Poaceae
Description: long non-coding RNA (SBIC_LNC011554)
Source: RNAcentral
CUGUAAAAGAGCUCAAUAUGAUAUACUCCCUCCAUUCGAAAUGAUAAGAUAUUUUGAGUUUAUUUAGAUACAUUGGUUUUAUUCAUGCAUAUAUAUAUAUGCAUGAGUAGUUCAAACGGAGGUCGUGCCGUCGUCGAUGGAUCUCUCGUGGCUGGUACGUCCUCGUGGUCAUCGAUCUGGUUUAUUGAUUCAUUUGCAGCAGUCGCAGCUGAGAAAAUUGCACUUGCCGCGGUUGUAGCCCUUGUCUCGGCAGCAGUCGUCGCACUUGUCCGCAUCCAAGCACAAGAAAAUUGGAUGGCCACCGCAACUGUCGUCUGCGAUGCUUUCGCAUGUUUCAGCUCCCACCAGCAUCUUGUUGCCCUCAUCUGCUUCAUUGAAUCGUUGUAUUGUACGUACCCAUGCAUCCAUGCAUCCAUCCGUCCAUGCAUGCAACAAAAUUGUACAUAUAUAGCAAAGUAUAUUAUUGGCUACUACUCGAGAUCAGGAUUUAUUAAAUUCUUGGCCAUGCAUUUAAUUUGACAAAAAUCAUAAGCAGGGUUACCCAUUUUUUUAAUUCUCUCGGAUUUCAGAGAGAGAGAAAAAUUCCGGGCAAAAAUGAAAUGUAUUUUGGAGCAAAUUUAUUUGAAUGGAAAGGAAGUGUGGUAUAUAUAUGAUCAUGUAAUUAACUUGAGAGAAGAGCAACCCCGGGACUUACGAGAUGCGACGAGGACCAUGGCCAACAGGAGGAAAGGGAACAGGAGAUUAUUCUUCGUCGCGGCCAUCGAUCACCUGCUGCUCUUAUGAAAAGCUAGCUAUACCUCUCUCUUCUCCGUAUUGUGAUUUGUGAAUAAUGAGGAGUAUAUCAUAUACAGUAUAUGAGACUAUGAGAGACUCUGGAAAUGCUGGCCGC